RNAcentral lists this ribosomal RNA (426 nucleotides) under uncultured bacterium. RNAcentral's name for it is "bacterial SSU rRNA". It matches the Rfam family "Bacterial small subunit ribosomal RNA", at positions 356 to 773 of the family's 1533-position model. The record is from RNAcentral.
GGGGAAUCUUGCGCAAUGGACGAAAGUCUGACGCAGCCAUGCCGCGUGAGUGACGAAGGCCUUCGGGUUGUAAAGCUCUGUCUAAGGGAAAGAAAGGUGUACGAGCGAAUAGAGCGUACAAUUGACGGUACCCUUAAAGAAAGCACCGGCUAACUCCGUGCCAGCAGCCGCGGCAAUACGGGGGGUGCAAGCGUUGUUCGGAAUUACUGGGCGUAAAGGGCGUGCAGGCUGUGGAGCAAGUUGAAUGUGAAAUCCCCGAGCUUAACUUGGGACGUGCAUUCAAGACUGCUUUACUGGAAUACGGGAGAGGGUCGUGGAAUUCCUGGUGUAGAGGUGAAAUUCGUAGAGAUCAGGAGGAACACUCGUGGCGAAGGCGACGACCUGGACCGAUAUUGACGCUGAGACGCGAGAGCGUGGGUAGCAAAC